UACGUAGGUGGCAAGCGUUGUCCGGAUUUACUGGGCGUAAAGAGCGCGCAGGCGGUCGUGCAAGUCGCGUGUGAAAGCCCCCGGCUCAACUGGGGAGGGUCACGCGAUACUGCUCGACUCGAAGGCAGGAGAGGGAAGUGGAAUUCCCGGUGUAGUGGUGAAAUGCGUAGAUAUCGGGAGGAACACCAGUGGCGAAGCCGACUUCCUGGCCUGUUCUUGACGCUGAGGCGCGAAAGCUAGGGUAGCAAACGGG
RNAcentral lists this ribosomal RNA (253 nucleotides) under uncultured bacterium. RNAcentral's name for it is "partial 16S ribosomal RNA". It matches the Rfam family "Bacterial small subunit ribosomal RNA", at positions 524 to 776 of the family's 1533-position model. The record is from RNAcentral.